CAAUAGCGUAUAUUUAAGUUGUUGCAGUUAAAAAGCUCGUAGUUGGAUUUCUGGUGGGAGCGAUCGGUCUGGCGCUUAGCGCGAGUACUUGCAUCGUCUCCGGCCAUCCUUGGGGAGAGUCUGUCUGGCAUUAGGUUGUCGGGCAGAGGAUCCUCAUCGUUUACUGUGAAAAAAUUAGAGUGUUCAAAGCAGGCUUAUGCCGUUGAAUAUAUUAGCAUGGAAUAAUAAGAUAGGACUUUGGUACUAUUUUGUUGGUUUGCGCACCAAAGUAAUGAUUAAUAGGGACAGUUGGGGGUAUUCGUAUUCCGUUGUCAGUGGUGAAAUUCUUGGAUUUACGGAAGACGAACUACUGCGAAAGCAUUUACCAAGGAUGUUUNCAUUAA
This 383-nucleotide ribosomal RNA is filed under the name uncultured eukaryote. Its description in RNAcentral is "partial 18S ribosomal RNA". It matches the Rfam family "Eukaryotic small subunit ribosomal RNA", at positions 592 to 976 of the family's 1831-position model. The record is from RNAcentral.